This 458-nucleotide ribosomal RNA is filed under the name uncultured bacterium. Its description in RNAcentral is "partial 16S ribosomal RNA". It matches the Rfam family "Bacterial small subunit ribosomal RNA", at positions 338 to 795 of the family's 1533-position model. The record is from RNAcentral.
CCUACGGGAGGCAGCAGUGAGGAAUAUUGGUCAAUGGCCGGAAGGCUGAACCAGCCAAGCCGCGUGAAGGACGAAGGUGCCAAGCAUUGUAAACUUCUUUUGUCAAGGGACAAAAUCAGGCUCGAGAGCCUGUCCGAAGGUACUUUAAGAAUAAGCAUCGGCUAACUCCGUGCCAGCAGCCGCGGUAAUACGGAGGAUGCGAGCGUUACCGGAUUUAUUGGUUUUAAAGGGUGCGUAGGCGGGCUGUUAAGUCAGCGGUAAAAGCCCGGGGCUAAAACCCGGCGAGCCGCUGACAUUGGCUGGCUAGAGAUGUCGAGAGGUAGGCGGAAUGCGCAGUGUAGCGGUGAAAUGCUUAGAUAUUGCGCAGAACACCGAUUGCGAAGGCAGCAUACCGGCGGCGAUCUGACGCUGAGGCACGAAAGCGUGGGUAUCGAACAGGAUUAGAUACCCGAGUAGUC